UAGUAAACCUUCACCACUAAUUCAUCACUACAUAUGGGGCAAAGAAAGGAGGAAAGUGGAACAAUUUUAAAUUUACUGUGAUCUUUGAGACAGCUUUAGCUACACCUGGGAAUUGCUGUUAGACAAUUAAGGUUAGUAAAGCUCACUGAAUCUCUCAGAGGAAAGGUGUUAUUUGAAUUAUUACCAGAUAAUUAUUGUUAAAAAUAACAAUAAUAUAAAAAAUAGGAACGUUACAUGUUAGAGACAUUAUCAUUUUAAUUUCCAAUGCGGGGGUAGUAGAGCCCUGGGGGAUCUAGGAACAAUUUUUUUUUUCCCAUGAUGUGCUCUAUGCCAGAAACUUCUUGAAUUCUGUCUGAUGCCUGAUGACCUGACAAACUGGCCCAGAAUCAGAAGCCGGUCGUGCCGUGUGAGCUGUUAGCCAAGUUAUUCAGCUUGAACUGCUCCUUCAAAAACAGUAGGAAGGAUGAUCUGGUGUGAUUUCCGAAGAAUGGGAAGAGCCACACUGAAGUGAGACCUCCACAGAAAAUUCCUUGUAGUGAUGUGUGACAGUGUGUUACAUAACAGUUCUGCUCUCUGAGGGCUUCCAAGACAGAGC
This 595-nucleotide long non-coding RNA is filed under the name Zalophus californianus (California sea lion). RNAcentral describes it as "lncRNA (ENSZCAG00015004113.1)". The record is from RNAcentral. Lineage: Eukaryota; Metazoa; Chordata; Mammalia; Carnivora; Otariidae.